GGUGGCAAUACUCAGCGGUAGAGUGCUUGCCUUGUAUGCAUGAAGUCCUGGGUUCGAAUCCUCAGCACCA
RNAcentral lists this transfer RNA (70 nucleotides) under Dipodomys ordii (Ord's kangaroo rat). It matches the Rfam family "tRNA". Rfam says of the family: Transfer RNA (tRNA) molecules are approximately 80 nucleotides in length. Lineage: Eukaryota; Metazoa; Chordata; Mammalia; Rodentia; Heteromyidae. The record is from Rfam by way of RNAcentral.